UACGUAGGGUGCGAGCGUUGUCCGGAAUUAUUGGGCGUAAAGGGCUCGUAGGCGGUUUGUCGCGUCGGGAGUGAAAACGCCGUGCUUAACACGGCGCUUGCUUUCGAUACGGGCAGACUAGAGGUAUGCAGGGGAGAACGGAAUUCCUGGUGUAGCGGUGAAAUGCGCAGAUAUCAGGAGGAACACCGGUGGCGAAGGCGGUUCUCUGGGCAUGACCUGACGCUGAGGAGCGAAAGUGUGGGGAGCGAACAGG
Molecule: ribosomal RNA, 253 nt
Filed under: uncultured bacterium
Lineage: Bacteria
Description: partial 16S ribosomal RNA
Rfam family: Bacterial small subunit ribosomal RNA
Source: RNAcentral